Molecule: long non-coding RNA, 960 nt
Filed under: Gossypium barbadense (sea-island cotton)
Lineage: Eukaryota; Viridiplantae; Streptophyta; Magnoliopsida; Malvales; Malvaceae
Description: long non-coding RNA (GBAR_LNC023459)
Source: RNAcentral
UUUGUAGUAGUAUGGUGGUGAGACGUAAUGUGGGGGUGGUGGUGGAGAUUUGUAGUAGUAAGGUGGUGGAGGAGAUGGUGAAGGUGGUGGUGGAGACUUGUAGUAGUAAGGUGGUGGUGGUGAGGGUGAUGGAGGUGGUGGAGACUUGUAGUAGUAUGGGGGUUGUUCUUCAUGCUUUGGUGGUGGUGGUGGGGACUUGUAGUAGUAAGGAGGUGGUGGAGAUGGUGAAGGUGGUGGUGGAGAUUUAUAGUAGUAAGGUGGUGGUGGUGAGGGUGAUGGAGGUGGUGGAGACUUGUAGUAGUAUGGGGGUUGUUCUUCAUGCUUUGGUGGUGGUGGUGGAGAUUUGUAGUAGUAUGGAGGAGGUGGUGAUGGAGACGGAGGUGGUGGGGACUUGUAGUAGUAAGGAGGAGGUGGUGAUGGAGAUGGAGGAGGAGGUGACUUGUAGUAGUAUGGUGGUUGUUCUUCAUGCUUUGGUGGUGGUGGUGGGGACUUGUAGUAGUAUGGAGGUGGUGGUGAUGGUGAUGGAGGUGGUGGAGAUUUAUACUCAUAAGGAGGUGGAGGAGAAGGCGAUGGAGGUGGUGGAGACUUGUAUUCAUAAGGCUUCUCCUUCGGUGGUGGUGGUGGAGACUUGUACUCAUAAGGCUUCUCCUUCGGUGGUGGUGGUGGAGACUUGUAUUCAUAAGGCUUCUCCUCAUGCUUUGGUGGAGGUGGUGGAGACUUGUACACGUAAGGAGGUGGUGGAGAAGGUGAUGGAGGUGGUGGAGAUUUGUACUCAUAAGGAGGUGGAGGAGAAGGUGAUGGUGGGGGUGGAGACUUGUACUCAUAAGGCUUCUCCUUUGGUGGUGGUGGUGGAGACUUGUAUUCAUAAGGCUUCUCCUCAUGUUUAGGUGGUGGUGGUGGAGACUUGUACACAUACGGAGGUGGAGGAGAAGGUGAAGGUGGUGGUGGAGAUUUAUACAC